Molecule: ribosomal RNA, 301 nt
Filed under: uncultured bacterium
Lineage: Bacteria
Description: partial 16S ribosomal RNA
Rfam family: Bacterial small subunit ribosomal RNA
Source: RNAcentral
CAGCAGCCGCGGUAAUACGAAGGGUGCAAGCGUUAAUCGGAAUUACUGGGCGUAAAGCGUGCGUAGGCGGUUUGUUAAGUCUGCUGUGAAAUCCCCGGGCUCAACCUGGGAAUGGCAGUGGAUACUGGCAAGCUAGAGUGUGUCAGAGGAUGGUGGAAUUCCCGGUGUAGCGGUGAAAUGCGUAGAGAUCGGGAGGAACAUCAGUGGCGAAGGCGGCCAUCUGGGACAACACUGACGCUGAGGCACGAAAGCGUGGGGAGCAAACAGGAUUAGAUACCCCGGUAGUCCCUGUCUCUUAUAC